RNAcentral lists this ribosomal RNA (1034 nucleotides) under Pseudomonas syringae. RNAcentral describes it as "bacterial SSU rRNA". It matches the Rfam family "Bacterial small subunit ribosomal RNA", at positions 100 to 1139 of the family's 1533-position model. Lineage: Bacteria; Pseudomonadati; Pseudomonadota; Gammaproteobacteria; Pseudomonadales; Pseudomonadaceae. The record is from RNAcentral.
GACGGGUGAGUAAUACCUAGGAAUCUGCCUGGUAGUGGGGGAUAACGUUCGGAAACGGACGCUAAUACCGCAUACGUCCUACGGGAGAAAGCAGGGGACCUUCGGGCCUUGCGCUAUCAGAUGAGCCUAGGUCGGAUUAGCUAGUUGGUGAGGUAAAUGCCGUAUAAGGCUACGAUCCGUAACUGGUCUGAGAGGAUGAUCAGUCACACUGGAACUGAGACACGGUCCAGACUCCUACGGGAGGCAGCAGUGGGGAAUAUUGGACAAUGGGCGAAAGCCUGAUCCAGCCAUGCCGCGUGUGUGAAGAAGGUCUUCGGAUUGUAAAGCACUUUAAGUUGGGAGGAAGGGCCAUUACCUAAUACGUGAUGGUUUUGACGUUACCGACAGAAUAAGCACCGGCUAACUCUGUGCCAGCAGCGGCGGUAAUACAGAGGGUGCAAGCGUUAAUCGGAAUUACUGGGCGUAAAGCGCGCGUACCCGGUUCGUUAAGUUGGAUGUGAAAUCCCCGGGCUCAACCUGGGAACUGCAUUCAAAAAAAACGAGCUAGAGUAUGGUAGAGGGUGGUGGAAUUUCCUGCCCCGCGGUGAAAUGCGUAGAUAUAGGAAGGAACACCAGUGGCGAAGGCGACCACCUGGACUGAUACUGACCACACGGUGCGAAAGCGUGGGGAGCAAACAGGAUUAGAUACCCUGGUAGUCCACGCCGUAAACGAUGUCAACUAGCCGUUGGGAGCCUUGAGCUCUUAGUGGCGCAGCUAACGCAUUAAGUUGACCGCCUGGGGAGUACGGCCGCAAGGUUAAAACUCAAAUGAAUUGACGGGGGCCCGCACAAGCGGUGAGCAUGUGGUUUAAUUCGAAGCAACGCGAAGAACCUUACCAGCCUUGACAUCCAAUGAACUAUCCAGAGAUGGAUUGGUGCCUUCGGGAACAUUGAGACAGGUGCUGCAUGGUGUGGUCAGCUCGUGUCGUGAGAUGUUGGGUAAAGUCCGUAACGACGCAUCCCAUGACCUAGUAAGAGCACGAAUGGUGCCAUGU